AACGAACGCUGGCGGCAUGCCUAACACAUGCAAGUCGAACGAGACCUUCGGGUCUAGUGGCGCACGGGUGCGUAACGCGUGGGAAUCUACCCUCAGGUUCGGAAUAACUCAGAGAAAUUUGAGCUAAUACCGGAUGAUGACGUAAGUCCAAAGAUUUAUCGCCUGAGGAUGAUCCCGCGUAGGAUUAGGUAGUUGGUGAGGUAAAGGCUCACCAAGCCGACGAUCCUUAGCUGGUCUGAGAGGAUGAUCAGCCACACUUGGACUGAGACACGGCCCAGACUCCUACGGGAGGCAGGAGUGGGGAAUAUUGGACAAUGGGCGAAAGCCUGAUCCACCAAUGCCGGGUGAGUGAUGAAGGCCUUAGGGUUGUAAAGCGCUUUUACCCGGGAUGAUAAUGACGGUACCGGGAGAAUAAGCUCCGGCUAACUCCGUG
This 433-nucleotide ribosomal RNA is filed under the name uncultured bacterium. RNAcentral describes it as "partial 16S ribosomal RNA". It matches the Rfam family "Bacterial small subunit ribosomal RNA", at positions 29 to 507 of the family's 1533-position model. The record is from RNAcentral.